AAACCGUACUGCAUACCGACUCUGGUUGACUAGUAUAUAUACUCAGGCCAUAGAAUCAACCAUGUUAAAUCAACUCGGCAAAAUGCGCUCGUGACCUUGGAGGAUGAGCGGCUAAAUAGACACAGAAAAUAGCCGACAGCGACUGUUUACCAAAAACACAGGAUAGUGCUAACGCAGAUUUCUGGGGCUAUCUCUAGUCUCAGAUCUGGCGGUAUACCAUCCGACGCCUGCCCAAAGGCGAAAGCAAACGGCGGCAGUAACCCUGACUGUCAUAAUGUAGCGAAAUCCCUUGACGUUUAAUUGGCGUCGUUGCAUGAAUGGCUGAACGACUGUCGGGCUGUCUCUAACAUGGAAUCUGUGAAUUUGAAAUCUUCGUGCAGAUGCGAAGGCGUUAGCAAGGGACGAAGAGACCCUAUGCAGCUUUGCUGGGUGCUAAG
Non-coding RNA from Astrephomene gubernaculifera, 437 nucleotides. The record is from the annotation of a GenBank genome assembly. NCBI's taxonomy places the organism in Eukaryota, Viridiplantae, Chlorophyta, Chlorophyceae, Chlamydomonadales, Astrephomenaceae.